This 419-nucleotide ribosomal RNA is filed under the name uncultured bacterium. Its description in RNAcentral is "bacterial SSU rRNA". It matches the Rfam family "Bacterial small subunit ribosomal RNA", at positions 30 to 455 of the family's 1533-position model. The record is from RNAcentral.
AUUGAACGCUGGCGGCAUGCCUUACACAUGCAAGUCGAACGGCAGCACGGGGCAACCUGGUGGCGAGUGGCGAACGGGUGAGUAAUGCAUCGGAACGUGCCAUUGAGUGGGGGAUAACGUAGCGAAAGUUGCGCUAAUACCGCAUAUUCUGUGAGCAGGAAAGCAGGGGACCGCAAGGCCUUGCGCUCUUUGAGCGGCCGAUGUCAGAUUAGCUAGUUGGUGAGGUAACGGCUUACCAAGGCGACGAUCUGUAGCGGGUCUGAGAGGAUGAUCCGCCACACUGGAACUGAGACACGGUCCAGACUCCUACGGAGGCAGCAGUGGGGAAUUUUGGACAAUGGGCGCAAGCCUGAUCCAGCCAUGCCGCGUGAGUGAAGAAGGCCUUCGGUUGUAAGACUCUUGCCGGAGAAUACGCAUGG